Molecule: ribosomal RNA, 156 nt
Filed under: uncultured Xerocomus
Lineage: Eukaryota; Fungi; Basidiomycota; Agaricomycetes; Boletales; Boletaceae
Description: partial 28S ribosomal RNA
Source: RNAcentral
UUGACUUGGGACUUGGACUUUCGAGCGAAGCUUGAGCUACUAGUCGGUCGCGAGGCCGACGAACGCGAGGCGGGCCUUGGAGGUCGGAAGGGUCUCUCGUCUUCCCUGACGACYUGACCUCAAAUCAGGUAGGACUACCCGCUGAACUUAAGCAUA